This 235-nucleotide ribosomal RNA is filed under the name uncultured bacterium. Its description in RNAcentral is "partial 16S ribosomal RNA". It matches the Rfam family "Bacterial small subunit ribosomal RNA", at positions 99 to 334 of the family's 1533-position model. The record is from RNAcentral.
CGGACGGGGGAGUAACGCGUGGGUAACCUGCCUUGUACUGGGGGACAACAGUUAGAAAUGACUGCUAAUACCGCAUAAGCGCACAGUAUCGCAUGAUACAGUGUGAAAAACUCCGGUGGUACAAGAUGGACCCGCGUCUGAUUAGCUAGUUGGUAAGGUAACGGCUUACCAAGGCGACGAUCAGUAGCCGACCUGAGAGGGUGACCGGCCACAUUGGGACUGAGACACGGCCCAA